Molecule: ribosomal RNA, 253 nt
Filed under: uncultured bacterium
Lineage: Bacteria
Description: partial 16S ribosomal RNA
Rfam family: Bacterial small subunit ribosomal RNA
Source: RNAcentral
UACGUAGGUGGCAAGCGUUGUCCGGAAUAAUUGGGAGUAAAGUGUGCGUAGGCGGCUAAGUAAGUGAGAUGUGAAAGUCAAAGGCUCAACCUUUGAAAGCCGGUGGAUACUGUGGGGCUAGAGUCCGGAAGAGGCGAGUGGAAUUCCUGGUGUAGCGGUGGAAUGCGCAGAGAUCGGGAGGAACACCCGUGGCGAAGGCGGCCAUCUGGACCAGCACUGACGCUGAGGCACGAAAGCGUGGGGAGCAAACAGG